AUGGCGGCGCCCAAGAGCCCAGGGAUCUCGACGAUCUCGACCUGCACCCCGGAGAAGGCGCGGGGCGACCACGUGUUCAAGAUCGAAGGCUACAGCCUGUGGAAGGGCCUCGGCGUCGGCAAGGUCAUCCAGUCCGCCCCCUUCGCCGUCGGCGGCUACGACUGGCGCCUCAGCUACUACCCAGACGGCUACACGGAGGGCAGCAAGGACCACGUCGCCGUCUUCCUCGAGCUCCUGAGCAAGGACGCGGAGGUGAGGGCGCUGUACCAUCUGAUGCUGAUCGAGCAGGCCGCACGGACGUCGCCAGCGCAAUUCACAUGGCCAAAACCUACGGCGCCUGUGGUGUUCAGCAACCCCUCUAGUGAUGCCUUAUCCUGCUUGGACCAUUCCAUGUUCGUGAGGAGGAGCCAGAUCGAAGGGUCGGCGUACUUGUACAUCCCCGACGACAUCCUUCUCAUUAAGUGUGACAUCACCGUUAUCAAGUUGAAGGAGGCACAGAUGCGGAAGAUCGACAUGAGCUUUAAUAUCGAAGUGCCGCCUUCAGACUUGUUGCACAAUCUUAGAAGUUUGAUGGAUGCGAGGGAGGAAUCGGAUGUGUCUUUCAAGGUCAAAGAUGAGGUAUUCACUGCCCAUAAGGUCGUCCUCGCAAUGCGAUCGCCGGUAUUCAAGGCGGAGCUCUACGGGCCGAUGAGGGAUAAGUGUGGGCAGGGGCAGAGCAUAACCAUUAAAGACAUGGAGCCCGCUGUUUUCAAAGCACUGCUCCACUUCAUCUAUACAGAUGAGUUGCCUCCCUUGGACGACCUUCAUGAUGAUGAUGAAGAAAUGGUCAGGCAUUUGCUCGUGGCUGCGGAUAGGUAUGUCAUGGAAAGGAUGAAGUUGAUGUAUGAGAGAAAACUUUCUGAGUUUCUUGAUGCCAAGACUGUGGCGGACACGUUAGCUCUUGCAGACCAGCAUCAUUGCAGCAAGCUCAAAGAGGCUUGCAUUGGAUUUAUCAACUCUUUGGAUAGAAUAGAUGAUGUGAUGGACAGUGUAGGGUAUGAGCACCUGAAAAAAGCAUGCCCUACUAUCUUUAUUGAUAUAUGGGAGAAAGCUGCCAAGCGCAAAGUAUAG
RNAcentral lists this ribosomal RNA (1110 nucleotides) under Triticum aestivum (bread wheat). RNAcentral's name for it is "partial small subunit ribosomal RNA". Lineage: Eukaryota; Viridiplantae; Streptophyta; Magnoliopsida; Poales; Poaceae. The record is from RNAcentral.